GCCGAAGUGGCGGAACUGGCAGACGCACAGGACUUAAAAUCCUGCGGGAAUUAACCCCCGUACCGGUUCGAUCCCGGUCUUCGGCACCA
RNAcentral lists this transfer RNA (89 nucleotides) under Christensenella tenuis. RNAcentral's name for it is "tRNA-Leu". It matches the Rfam family "tRNA". Rfam says of the family: Transfer RNA (tRNA) molecules are approximately 80 nucleotides in length. Their secondary structure includes four short double-helical elements and three loops (D, anti-codon, and T loops). Lineage: Bacteria; Bacillati; Bacillota; Clostridia; Christensenellales; Christensenellaceae. The record is from RNAcentral.